GUACACACCGCCCGUCGCUACUACCGAUCGGAUUUAUUAGUGAAUUUUAAAGACAAGCCUAGCUUAUUUAUAUAGGCAUGGUUUGAAAUUAAUGUGAACUGAUGAAUCUAGAGGAAGUAAAAGUCGUAACAAGGUUUCCGUAGGUGAACCUGCAGAAGGAUCA
This 163-nucleotide ribosomal RNA is filed under the name Acartia clausii. RNAcentral's name for it is "partial 18S ribosomal RNA". It matches the Rfam family "Eukaryotic small subunit ribosomal RNA", at positions 1662 to 1828 of the family's 1831-position model. The record is from RNAcentral. Lineage: Eukaryota; Metazoa; Arthropoda; Copepoda; Calanoida; Acartiidae.